Long non-coding RNA from Phascolarctos cinereus (koala), 625 nucleotides. RefSeq lists it as uncharacterized. NCBI's taxonomy places the organism in Eukaryota, Metazoa, Chordata, Mammalia, Diprotodontia, Phascolarctidae. The record is from RefSeq and is a predicted model, not a curated record.
UGAGAUAGGAACACAGUGACACACAGAAAGAUCAAUACAGGGCUAAGGGAGAGACGCGGCCGUUUGAGCUCCCCCCCCCCCCAGUGGAAGAAUGACAUCCUUCUCAAGACGGAAAUCAGAUUGCACUUUUUUUUUAAAGGUGCAAGAGAGUGGUUGAAAAGAGAGGGAAGAGGAAGAAGAUAGAAUGGGGAAAAGGAGCCUGUGUGAAAUGGGGACAGGACACCAAAGCAGAGACGCAGCAGAGGAGACAAACGGGGGAGGGGGGGUGGUGGCAGAAAGGGUCCUUUCUGGACAAAAGCACAGCUGGAGCUCAGGCUUCCCGUUUCUGACUCAGUGCUACAGCUCUGUACGCCUCCCAGGGAACGCCUUCACUCCCGUUCUGCCCUGCCCUGGCUGUUCCAAACUUCUCUCCUCCAAUCUACCAAACCUUGCCUCCACAUUCCAAAUUUUCAGCCAGUGACUGUGCUUCCUGAUUUACAGAGAAGAUUGACAUUAUCUAGUGUUCCUCCCUGUCUGCUACCUGAGGGCUGUCUUGUCGUCCUGAUCCGUAUCUGGCCACUGGACCCAGAUGGCUCCAGAGAAGGUGAGGCUGGUGACUUUGCACAGCCCUCCCUCACUCAAAUCC